This is a long non-coding RNA of Rhipicephalus sanguineus (brown dog tick), 585 nucleotides long. RefSeq lists it as uncharacterized. NCBI's taxonomy places the organism in Eukaryota, Metazoa, Arthropoda, Arachnida, Ixodida, Ixodidae. The transcript has 5 exons. The record is from RefSeq and is a predicted model, not a curated record.
GUUUGGAGUUCGGAUAGAUCAGACUCUUCGUUGGCCUCGUUUUUAGGUGUUUGAUCCGUGACGUUUCGUCGAAAAAUCACAAGCGCGCAUGCCGUAGGUGUUUGCCUGGUUGCAAGAUCUUGCCGAUUUCAACGUUUUUCCACCUCUUCGCACUUUCUUCUUUGGCUCCCCACCGCGCGCAGGUUGGCGUACGCUGAACUGGACCCUCGCAGCAAGAAUGGCACGUGGGAAUUGACACCGCGAUCGUGGAACACAUGGCUGAUCUGCCUCGAAUAACUGCAAGCCGGCGCGUGCGUAGUGCCGUGGAGAACGAUCAGAAGUCCUGGACGACAAAGAAAAAAACUUCAAAGCUGCCUCUGCGAACCUCGCUCCUGGACAACAGCUGGGAGGCUCUGUGUUUAAACGCGUGCACCUUGGACGUCAUGCUCCUGCCUCUGCAAGCCCUUUUGCUGGACGCCAUGGAAGGCCCUCCACUCGAAAGUGUGCACCUUAGACUACACGCUCAUCAAUACCAAGUUCUCUGUCCUUCUCGGCAUGAUUGUAGUGCCAUAUAAUAGUGAGGCAAUAAAUCAUUUUUGCUGGUCA